GGGAGAAGGCUGCUUACUCGCAAGACGGGCCAGCUGCCCAGCACCGCCUGCACCGCUCGGCAGAACAGGCCACGCGCCUCCUCCCUCGGCGCCACCGCCGCCGCCGCCGCCGCCAUCCCCGGCCAAGGCCCCACGGGGAAUCGCUCGCCGAAUCAUCGAUGGACGCCGGGCUCCCAGGCUGGCUGUGAGAGCGAGGGGGAAACGGCCGCCAGGCGAAAGGGAGCGCGCGCCGAGACAAGGAUCGCCCUCUAGCUCCCUCUCUCUCUUGUGCUGCAUCCUCACUUUGGCACCACUUUAACUGCCCUGGCUCAAUGCUACGGAAUCCUGGGAAGUGUAGUUUGUUCUGGCACUUAAACUCUCUUUUCUGACACAGAAGGCUAAAUCCUCCACCACAAAAUGGAAAUCAUAUGCAAAGUGGACUACUGGAAGGAGAAAAAUCAUUCUGGGAUGCAUUUUGAAAAAAGCUUUCAAGUGGUCUCUAGAAGAUUAAAGAGAAGCAUUCCCAUAUAUUAAAAUUUUCACACCAGUUCUGUCACCAUUAACUCCAUUGCUAUGUUAUCACCGAGUCUAUGAAGAUGACAUGUUUUUAUGGCAGCCACCAUAAAACAAUAUACAAGAGUCACAGUCUAAUUGUGACGGGACGAUGACAUCCAAACAUCACCAUUUAAAAGGCAGCGUCUUGGCCUCCUGAAAGUGUGGGAAAGCUUGGUUCACCACAAGGUUUUCCCACUCAUCGCAGCAGCUGCUGUUUUUGACCCCUGCACAUUUGGGGGUGGAACCUGUGGCGAUGGGGACAGUGGAUCUCAUAGCGUGCUUUGCCGUUCUCUGCAUUGCUAUUUUCUGCUAUCGGCUGAUAACAUUCGUGACAGCUGACUAUCCGAAGACCCUGUGGGCAAUGAGUCCAAAAAAGGGAAGGCCGCAAAGAAGCGUUGAGUUGCUCCGGGUGGAAGCCCCCAUGAAGCCUGGCGGUUCACGGGGAGAUGGAGGUAGCCAGAUCCCAUGUUAAGAAGACUCCAGCAAUGGCGAACCUCACAUUUGAAAGGAGCACUUAAUAAAUCAGAUAAUUGAAGUCA
Molecule: long non-coding RNA, 1073 nt
Organism: Sceloporus undulatus (fence lizard)
Lineage: Eukaryota; Metazoa; Chordata; Lepidosauria; Squamata; Phrynosomatidae
Exons: 2
Source: RefSeq, a predicted model, not a curated record